This 458-nucleotide ribosomal RNA is filed under the name uncultured soil bacterium. Its description in RNAcentral is "bacterial SSU rRNA". It matches the Rfam family "Bacterial small subunit ribosomal RNA", at positions 62 to 503 of the family's 1533-position model. The record is from RNAcentral.
UCGAACGGGUCCUUCGGGACUAGUGGCGGACGGGUGAGUAACGCGUGGGAACAUGCCCUUUGGUACGGAAUAGCCUCGGGAAACUGGGAGUAAUACCGUAUGUGCCCCCCAAUCAAAUCUCAUUUGAUUGGUGACUCUUAGGAUUCAUCGAAUGCCAAGUGGCAUUUGAUGGGGGGGGAAAGAUUUAUCGCCAAAGGAUUGGCCCGCGUUGGAUUAGGUAGUUGGUGGGGUAACGGCCUACCAAGCCGACGAUCCAUAGCUGGUUUGAGAGGAUGAUCAGCCACACUGGGACUGAGACACGGCCCAGACUCCUACGGGAGGCAGCAGUGGGGAAUCUUAGACAAUGGGGGCAACCCUGAUCUAGCCAUGCCGCGUGAUCGAUGAAGGCCUUAGGGUUGUAAAGAUCUUUCAGUGGGGAAGAUAAUGACGGUACCCACAGAAGAAGCCCNNNCUAACUC